GGACCGAUAGCUCAGCGGUAGAGGUAUGAUAAUCAAUCAAUCUUACGUUUAACGCAUUCAUGCAACUAACAAUUCAUUAGCGUAGGAUUGCAGUCUGUUCAACAAUCCCGAGGUCGCGUGUUCGAUUCACGCUCGGUCCU
This is a non-coding RNA of Whalleya microplaca, 140 nucleotides long. NCBI's taxonomy places the organism in Eukaryota, Fungi, Ascomycota, Sordariomycetes, Xylariales, Xylariaceae. The record is from the annotation of a GenBank genome assembly.